This 253-nucleotide ribosomal RNA is filed under the name uncultured bacterium. RNAcentral's name for it is "partial 16S ribosomal RNA". It matches the Rfam family "Bacterial small subunit ribosomal RNA", at positions 524 to 776 of the family's 1533-position model. The record is from RNAcentral.
UACGUAGGGUGCGAGCGUUAAUCGGAAUUACUGGGCGUAAAGCGUGCGCAGGCGGUUUUGUAAGCCAGAUGUGAAAUCCCCGGGCUUAACCUGGGAAUGGCAUUUGGGACUGCAAGGCUUGAGUGCGGCAGAGGAGACUGGAAUUCCCGGUGUAGCAGUGAAAUGCGUAGAUAUCGGGAGGAAUACCGAUGGCGAAGGCAGGUCUCUGGGCCGUAACUGACGCUGAGGAGCGAAAGCGUGGGGAGCGAACAGG